GCGCAGGUGGUGAAACGGCAGACACGCUAGGUUCAGGAUCUAGUGGAGUAAUCCAUGCGGGUUCAAAUCCCGCCCUGCGCA
RNAcentral lists this transfer RNA (81 nucleotides) under Candidatus Omnitrophota bacterium. RNAcentral describes it as "tRNA-Leu". It matches the Rfam family "tRNA". Rfam says of the family: Transfer RNA (tRNA) molecules are approximately 80 nucleotides in length. Their secondary structure includes four short double-helical elements and three loops (D, anti-codon, and T loops). Lineage: Bacteria; Pseudomonadati; Candidatus Omnitrophota. The record is from RNAcentral.